Molecule: long non-coding RNA, 1071 nt
Filed under: Macaca fascicularis (crab-eating macaque)
Lineage: Eukaryota; Metazoa; Chordata; Mammalia; Primates; Cercopithecidae
Description: lncRNA (ENSMFAG00000054619.1)
Source: RNAcentral
AUGUGUGCAUGUGUGCAGGGGUGUAGUGUGUGUAUGUAUGUGUGUGCACAUGCGUACAUGUGUGUGGAAGUGCUUGUGCCUGUGUGUAUAUACCUGUGUGUGCUUGUGUGCAUGUCUGUACAUGUGUGUGCAUGUGUGCAGGGGUGUAGUGCACAUGUGUAUGCCUGUGUGUAUAUGUGUGUGGGAGUGUUUAUGCAUGUCUGUACCUGUGUAUGCAUGUGUGUACAUGUGUGUGCAUUGUGUAUAUGCCUGUGUGUGCAUGUGUGCAGGGGUGUAGUGCAUAUGUGUAUAUGUGUACCUAUGUCGGGGAAUGCUUGUGCAUGUCUGUACCUGUGUGUGCCUGUGUGUAUAUACCUGUGUGUACAGGGGUGUAGUGCAUGUGUGUAUCUGUGUACAUGUGUGCGGGAGUACUUGUGUAUGUCUGUACGUGCGUGCAUGUGUGUAUAUACCUACCUGUGUGUGCGUGUAUGUAUAUACCUGUGUGUGCAUGUGUGUACAUACCUGUGUGUGUGUAUACCUGUGUGUGCAUGUGUGUAUAUACCUGUGUGUACAUGUGUGUAUAUUCCUGUGUGGGGGUGUGUGUAUAUACCUGUGUGUGUGUGUGUAUACCUGUGUGUGCAUGUGUGUAUAUACCUGUGCGGGUGUGUGUGUAUAUACCUGUGUGUGCGUGUGUGUAUAUACCUGUGUGUGUGUGUGUAUACCUGUGUGUGCAUGUGUGUAUAUACCUGUGCGGGUGUGUGUAUAUAUACCUGUGUGUGCAUGUGUGUAUAUACCUGUGUGUGCGUGUGUGUAUAUACCUGUGUGUGUGUGUGUAUAUACCUGUGUGGGCAUGUUUGUAUAUACCUGAGUGCGUGUGUGUAUACCUGUGCGUGUGUGUAUAUACCUGUGCGUGUGUGUAUAUACCUGUGUGUGUGUGUAUAUACCUGUGUGUGCAUGUGUGUAUAUACCUGUGCAGGUGUGUGUGUAUAUACCUGUGUGUGCAUGUGUGUAUAUACCUGUGUGUGCGUGUGUGUAUAUACCUGUGUGUGUGUGUGUGUAUAUACCUGUGUGGGCAUGUUUGUAUAUACCUGA